AUUUGUAAAGGAAUUAUGGAUGUGAUGUGAUAUUUUUGGUGGGGUGACGAGGACAACCAAAAGAGGAUGCAUUGGAUGGCUUGGUCGAAAAUGUGUGUUCCAAAGAAUCAAGGAGGGAUGAGUUUUGGCGAUAUUCCCUGUUUCAAUUUAGUGAUGUUGGCAAAGCAGGGCUGGCGCCUUCUUCAGAACCCUGAAUCUCUAUGUGCCACUGUUUUGAGACCGAAAUAUUUUCCUGAUGGCGAUUUACGGAACUCAAAGUAA
Molecule: ribosomal RNA, 261 nt
Filed under: Triticum aestivum (bread wheat)
Lineage: Eukaryota; Viridiplantae; Streptophyta; Magnoliopsida; Poales; Poaceae
Description: partial small subunit ribosomal RNA
Source: RNAcentral